RNAcentral lists this ribosomal RNA (457 nucleotides) under uncultured Gammaproteobacteria bacterium. RNAcentral's name for it is "bacterial SSU rRNA". It matches the Rfam family "Bacterial small subunit ribosomal RNA", at positions 1069 to 1532 of the family's 1533-position model. The record is from RNAcentral. Lineage: Bacteria; Pseudomonadati; Pseudomonadota; Gammaproteobacteria.
GAGAUGUGGGUAGUCCGUACGAGCGCACCUUGUCCUUAGUUGCCAGCACAUAAUGGUGGGAACUCUAAGGAGACUGCCGGUGACAAACCGGAGGAAGGUGGGGACGACGUCAAGUCAUCAUGGCCCUUACGACCUGGGCUACACACGUGCUACAAUGGCCAGUACAGAGGGCUGCAAACCCGCGAGGGGGAGCCAAUCCCACAAAGCUGGUCGUAGUCCGGAUCGCAGUCUGCAACUCGACUGCGUGAAGUUGGAAUCGCUAGUAAUCGUGAAUCAGAAUGUCACGGUGAAUACGUUCCCGGGCCUUGUACACACCGCCCGUCACACCAUGGGAGUAGGUUGCAAAAGAAGUAGCUAGGCUAACCUUCGGGAGGCCGGUUACCACUUUGUGAUUUAUGACUGGGGUGAAGUCGUAACAAGGUAGCCCUAGGGGAACCUGGGGCUGGAUCACCUCCUU